This is a long non-coding RNA of Hemibagrus wyckioides, 604 nucleotides long. RefSeq lists it as uncharacterized. NCBI's taxonomy places the organism in Eukaryota, Metazoa, Chordata, Actinopteri, Siluriformes, Bagridae. The transcript is spliced from 3 exons. The record is from RefSeq and is a predicted model, not a curated record.
GUCUUUAGCAGUGCCUCAAAUCGUGUAUUCAUGAGCUAGGGAGCUAGAGAGCCGAUAGAGACGCAGCCUUGUGUAACUUGGGAAGUGUAUGUUUAUGUGACAUCACUCACUCUCGUAAGGCUCCUGUCUGGUCAGAACGACCCACACUACUAUGGCGAAGCUGUAAACGUCGGAUUUUUCAGUGGAGCGAGUGUUGAUGCUUUCCAGGUGCUCGGGAGCCAUGUAGCACAACGUCCCGGCCGCCAUCACACACGACUUCCUGCCUCCCCGACUCUGCCUGCGCGACUCUUCCCUCGUCAGCCGACUCCACGUCUGACACGUAGCCAGACCGAGGUCUGCGAUCUGAUGCCAAACACAUGCCAGCGCUUGUCCCGCACAAUGGCAGGAUCCGCAUGAUUUGGCACAGGUUUUACGCAGGAUGCCCUUCCUGUCACAAACCCUCCCACUUUUAUCCGGGCUUAGGACCGGCACUGAGAGUUAACCCUUCAGCGGCUGGGUUUAGCGCCCUGCCCGGGAAUCGGACCCGGUCCACGCCAAUGACAGCAUGGGAUCCUGCCACUGGGCCACCAUCUCUUUUAUCAACCUAGAUGAUGUGAAUUCAAUA